This 460-nucleotide ribosomal RNA is filed under the name uncultured bacterium. RNAcentral describes it as "partial 16S ribosomal RNA". It matches the Rfam family "Bacterial small subunit ribosomal RNA", at positions 338 to 795 of the family's 1533-position model. The record is from RNAcentral.
CCUACGGGAGGCAGCAGUGAGGAAUAUUGGUCAAUGGACGAGAGUCUGAACCAGCCAAGUAGCGUGAAGGGUGACUGCCCUAUGGGUUGUAAACUUCUUUUAUAUGGGAAUAAAACAGGGUAUGCAUACCCUCUUGUAUGUACCAUAUGAAUAAGGAUCGGCUAACUACGUGCCAGCAGCCGCGGUAAUACGGAGGAUCCGAGCGUUAUACGGAUUUAUUGGGUUUAAAGGGAGCGUAGGGGGCUGGUUAAGUCAGUUGUGAAAGUUCGGGGCUCAACCGUAGAAUUGCAGUUGAAACUGGCAGUCUUGAGUACAGUAGAGGUGGGCGGAAUUCGAGGUGUAGCGGUGAAAUGCUUAGAUAUCACGAAGAACACCGAUUGCGAAGGCAGCUCACUGGACUACAACUGACACUGAUGCUCGAAAGUGUGGGUAGCAAACAGGAUUAGAUACCCUUGUAGUC